This 402-nucleotide ribosomal RNA is filed under the name uncultured bacterium. RNAcentral's name for it is "bacterial SSU rRNA". It matches the Rfam family "Bacterial small subunit ribosomal RNA", at positions 32 to 426 of the family's 1533-position model. The record is from RNAcentral.
AAUCAACGCUGGCGGCGUGCCUCAGACAUGCAAGUCGAACGAUUAAAGCUCUCUUCGGAGAGUGCAUAGAGUGGCGCACGGGUGAGUAACACGUAAGUAAUCUACCCUCGAGUGGGGAAUAACGUCCGGAAACGGACGCUAAUACCGCAUAAUGCAGCGGCACCGCAAGGUGACAGUUGUUAAAGAUUUAUCGCUUGAGGAGGAGCUUGCGGCAGAUUAGCUAGUUGGUAAGGUAAUGGCUUACCAAGGCUACGAUCUGUAACCGGUCUUAGAGGACGGUCGGGUCACACUGACACUGAAUAACGGGUCAGACUCCUACGGGAGGCAGCAGUCGGGAAUUUUGGGCAAUGGCGAAAGCCUGACCCAGCAACGCCGCGUGAAGGAUGAAGUAUUUCGGUAUGU